Dendronephthya gigantea is the source of this 1144-nucleotide long non-coding RNA. RefSeq lists it as uncharacterized. The transcript is spliced from 7 exons. NCBI's taxonomy places the organism in Eukaryota, Metazoa, Cnidaria, Anthozoa, Malacalcyonacea, Nephtheidae. The record is from RefSeq and is a predicted model, not a curated record.
GAUGAGCUUCUCUCUCGAUCUAUUCAAUAUGGUGGUCAGUCAAGAAAUGUUUUUGCUUGCAAAAAGAUCGUAAAAUGUUGGCGCUACAAGCUCGGAAAAGAUUGUAAAUGAGAUCAGGCUUUUUUAGCUUUACCAUCAUCACAGGAUAACAAGAAGGAAGCAUCGAAACAAAUUCAAAGAUGACUAAUUUUAACAUGGUGGAUACGAAAGUCCUUCCUUGAAAACCUACUUCAGUCAUUGAUUAAAAGUCCAGCGAGAAAUAAAGUGAAAGGCGCGUAGAUUUGAAAACCACGAGAUUGUUUUUGCCAAUGUUUUGAUCUGAGGGUUUAAAGAAUCACUUUUACAAUUGAAACUGGAAUGCAAUGAUAAGAAAGGGAAAUGUGGAAUAAAUGCCUGGAAAGACAAUAUAAACUAUAAUUUGAAACUGGAAUGCAAUGAUAAGAAAGGGAAAUAAACUAUUGCUAAAGCUAAAGAACCACUGAAGCUAAAGAAUUGAGAUACAACAAUCUUUGACUGACUUUAGGUGUAAGACGUUCGCCCAGCUAUUGUAGAUCGCAUGGAAUCGAUUCAAGUCCUUUAAAAAUUUGUCAAUCAAGAUGAGAAUGAACUUAGUGAAUCUAUAGGUGGCGAUCGAAGGUGGACAGCAAGAUCGAAGCUCAGCAAGAUUGAAGAUUGUUCGAGGAAGAAGGAGUUCGCCGUUGACUAAAAGGUUUAUCUGAACAGCUAUUUGUCAAGAUGAACGUGAAGAGAAAAAAGAUGAGAAUAGAAGACUCGCCCGGCCAAAUUCAAAAUGGCGAUGCCAAAGAAAACCAUCCACGUGGACCGUUCGCGGACCUUUCUGAGCAAGAUUGUUGUGCUGUCUGGUCAAAGUUAAGUAUUUUACUUUGUCUUUGAUGUUUGUGUGCCUUCUGCUAAUUGUUGGCCAGAAAUGACAAAAAGCCAUAUACAAUAUGAAAUAUUCUGCGUACAAGGUUAUCUAAAGUUUCGAGCUUAAUUCUGCCUGCAAUGAUGAUAAUUUUUUACUGAAAAUUUAUGUCAUGAGCAAUUUCCGCACCUAUAGACUGAAGCAGAACUGAACAUUUUGUCAUUAACGUUUAUCUCAACAGCCAGUUAUCAAGACGAACGUCAAGAGAACAGUUGAAAU